Molecule: ribosomal RNA, 497 nt
Filed under: uncultured bacterium
Lineage: Bacteria
Description: partial 16S ribosomal RNA
Rfam family: Bacterial small subunit ribosomal RNA
Source: RNAcentral
GACGAACGCUGGCGGCGUGCCUAAUACAUGCAAGUUGAGCGCUGAAGGUUGGUACUUGUACCAACUGGAUGAGCAGCGAACGGGUGAGUAACGCGUGGGGAAUCUGCCUUUGAGCGGGGGACAACAUUUGGAAACGAAUGCUAAUACCGCAUAAAAACUUUAAACACAAGUUUUAAGUUUGAAAGAUGCAAUUGCAUCACUCAAAGAUGAUCCCGCGUUGUAUUAGCUAGUUGGUGAGGUAAAGGCUCACCAAGGCGAUGAUACAUAGCCGACCUGAGAGGGUGAUCGGCCACAUUGGGACUGAGACACGGCCCAAACUCCUACGGGAGGCAGCAGUAGGGAAUCUUCGGCAAUGGACGAAAGUCUGACCAAGCAACGCCGCGUGAGUGAAGAAGGUUUUCGGAUCGUAAAACUCUGUUGGUAGAGAAGAACGUUGGUGAGAGUGGAAAGCUCAUCAAGUGACGGUAACUACCCAGAAAGGGACGGCUAACUACGUG